Molecule: ribosomal RNA, 486 nt
Filed under: uncultured bacterium
Lineage: Bacteria
Description: partial 16S ribosomal RNA
Rfam family: Bacterial small subunit ribosomal RNA
Source: RNAcentral
GAUGAACGCUGGCGGCGGGCCUAAUACAUGCAAGUCGAACGCUGGAGAUCUAGCUUGCUAGAUCGAAGGAGUGGCGAACGGGUGAGUAAUACAUAAGCAACCUACCCACGAAGACUGGGAUAAUCUCUGGAAACGGGGACUAAUACCGGAUAGGUAAUCGGAAGGCAUCUUCUGGUUAUUAAAGGUUAAAAACACUGGUGGAUGGGCUUAUGGCGCAUUAGUUAGUUGGUGAGGUAACGGCCCACCAAGACGAUGAUGCGUAGCCGGCCUGAGAGGGUGAACGGCCACAUUGGGACUGAGACACGGCCCAGACUCCUACGGGAGGCAGCAGUAGGGAAUUUUCGGCAAUGGGGGCAACCCUGACCGAGCAACGCUGCGUGAGUGAAGACGGCCUUCGGGGUGUAAAGCUCUGUUGUAAGGGAAGAACGGUAGAUAGAGAAUAUCUAAGUGACGGUACCUUACCAGAAAGCCACGGCUAACUACGUG